Long non-coding RNA from Hirundo rustica (Barn swallow), 457 nucleotides. RefSeq lists it as uncharacterized. The transcript is spliced from 5 exons. The record is from RefSeq and is a predicted model, not a curated record. Lineage: Eukaryota; Metazoa; Chordata; Aves; Passeriformes; Hirundinidae.
CCUGGGUACAUUUCUUCCGUAGUGAUGGCUUCAGUAGGGGUCACCAAGAUGGGCCCUUGAUAAGGGAGAGAGUUUGCAAAGGGAAGAACUCAUGAAGAUUUGGAGCUUAAAGAAGCUGAAAAAAAAAAAUAAAAGGUGAAGACUGCUUGUGUAGUCCUUAGGAACCCUGAAGUGUAACACUUUUACAGCACAAAGGCUCAUCUUUCUACUACAGUGAACCAGCCCGCUAAGGUCACCUGCUCAAGUUGGCUGUCACUGAUGCAGCUGAGCUUCUCCGCUGCUGCUUCCUCAUAACCCCAACCUGAAUUCACCAGGUGUUUUGGAGCAGAUAAAGCUGUCUACACAUGGCAAGAGACUCCACCAUUGCUCUACUCUCAGCACUGCCUGAUAACAGGAGAUUUGUGAAGACAUUUCUGUGCAACAAAGAAGGGAGUGGACAGAAGCAAACUUUUCAGUG